GAUGAAGAACGCAGCGAAAUGCGAUAAGUAAUGUGAAUUGCAGAAUUCAGUGAAUCAUCGAAUCUUUGAACGCACAUUGCGCCCGCCAGUAUUCUGGCGGGCAUGCCUGUCCGAGCGUCAUUUCAACCCUCGAACCCCUCCGGGGGGUCGGCGUUGGGGAUCGGCCCUGCCUCUUGGCGGUGGCCGUCUCCGAGAUACAGUGGCGGUCUCGCCGCAGCCUCUCCUGCGCAGUAGUUUGCACACUCGCAUCGGGAGCGCGGCGCGUCCACAGCCGUUAAACACCCAACUUCUGAAAUGUUGACCUCGGAUCAGGUAGGAAUACCCGCUGAACUUAAGCAUAUCAAUAAGCGGAGGA
Molecule: unclassified non-coding RNA, 355 nt
Filed under: soil metagenome
Description: partial contains 5.8S ribosomal RNA, internal transcribed spacer 2, and large subunit ribosomal RNA
Rfam family: 5.8S ribosomal RNA (bases 1-120)
Source: RNAcentral